CAUUAGUGAAUUUAGGGUGACUAUUCGUAGUGCCCGACCUCCACUUCUAACACUGUGCACUUAUUGGCGAGGCUAAUAGAGAAUUGAAAAAUAAUCUAUUAACCUUGCGGCUUUAUUUUAUAACUCCAAGUUAAAGAAUGUAAACCAAUUAAAAACAAAAAAAAACUUUCAACAACGGAUCUCUUGGCUCUCGCAUCGAUGAAGAACGCAGCGAAAUGUGAUAAGUAAUGUGAAUUGCAGAAUUCAGUGAAUCAUCGAAUCUUUGAACGCACCUUGCGCUCCCUGGUAUUCCGGGGAGCAUGCCUGUUUGAGUGUCAUGAACUCUUCAACCCACCGGUUUCUUGUAGACUGUUGUGGUGUUUGGAUUUUGAAUGUUGCUGGCUCUUCGGAGCGAAGCUCGUUCGUAAUACAUUAGCAUUUCUAAUUCGAAUUCGGAUUGACUCAGUGUAAUAGACUAUUUCGCUGAGGACACUAGUAAUAGUGGCCGUAUUCAAUACAAGAGAAGCUUCUAAUCCCUCUAGUCAACUUUAGAUUAGACCUCAAAUCAGGUAGGAUUACCC
This 560-nucleotide ribosomal RNA is filed under the name uncultured Basidiomycota. Its description in RNAcentral is "eukaryotic LSU rRNA". The stretch from base 164 to 317 matches the Rfam family "5.8S ribosomal RNA". Lineage: Eukaryota; Fungi; Basidiomycota. The record is from RNAcentral.